RNAcentral lists this ribosomal RNA (253 nucleotides) under uncultured bacterium. Its description in RNAcentral is "partial 16S ribosomal RNA". It matches the Rfam family "Bacterial small subunit ribosomal RNA", at positions 524 to 776 of the family's 1533-position model. The record is from RNAcentral.
UACGUAGGGAGCAAGCGUUGUCCGGAAUCAUUGGGCGUAAAGCGCGCGUAGGUGGCCUCGUAAGUCCGCUGUAAAAGUCAAAGGCUCAACCUUUGAAAGCCGGUGGAUACUGCGGGGCUAGAGUACGGAAGAGGCGAGUGGAAUUCCUGGUGUAGCGGUGGAAUGCGCAGAUAUCAGGAGGAACACCUAAGGCGAAGGCAGCUCGCUGGAACGGUACUGACGCUGAGGCGCGAAAGCGUGGGGAGCAAACAGG